RNAcentral lists this ribosomal RNA (562 nucleotides) under uncultured bacterium. Its description in RNAcentral is "bacterial SSU rRNA". It matches the Rfam family "Bacterial small subunit ribosomal RNA", at positions 9 to 572 of the family's 1533-position model. The record is from RNAcentral.
GAGUUUGAUCAUGGCUCAGGAUGAACGCUAGCGGCAGGCUUAACACAUGCAAGUCGAGGGGUAUAGUUCUUCGGAAUUAGAGACCGGCGCACGGGUGCGUAACGCGUAUGCAAUCUACCUUUUACAGGGGAAUAGCCCAGAGAAAUUUGGAUUAAUGCCCCAUAGUAUAGUUUUUUCGCAUGAAGAGAUUAUUAAAGUUCCAACGGUAAAAGAUGAGCAUGCGUCCCAUUAGCUAGAUGGUAAGGUAACGGCUUACCAUGGCGACGAUGGGUAGGGGUCCUGAGAGGGAGAUCCCCCACACUGGUACUGAGACACGGACCAGACUCCUACGGGAGGCAGCAGUGAGGAAUAUUGGUCAAUGGACGCAAGUCUGAACCAGCCAUGCCGCGUGCAGGAUGACGGUCCUAUGGAUUGUAAACUGCUUUUGUACGAGAAGAAACAUCCCGACGUGUCGGGACUUGACGGUAUCGUAAGAAUAAGGAUCGGCUAACUCCGUGCCAGCAGCCGCGGUAAUACGGAGGAUCCAAGCGUUAUCCGGAAUCAUUGGGUUUAAAGGGUCCGU